AGAGUUUGAUCCUGGCUCAGGAUGAACGCUGGCGGCGUGCUUAACACAUGCAAGCGAACGAACCUUCGGGUUAGUGGCGGACGGGUGAGUAACGCGUGAGAAUCUGCCCUUAGGAGGGGGAUAACGGCUGGAAACGGCCGCUAAUACCCCAUAUGCCGAGAGGUGAAAUGAAUUUCGCCUGAGGAUGAGCUCGCGUCUGAUUAGCUUGUUGGUGGGGUAAUGGCCUACCAAGGCAACGAUCAGUAGCUGGUCUGAGAGGAUGAUCAGCCACACUGGGACUGAGACACGGCCCAGACUCCUACGGGAGGCAGCAGUGGGGAAUUUUCCGCAAUGGGCGAAAGCCUGACGGAGCAACGCCGCGUGAGGGAUGAAGGCCUCUGGGCUGUAAACCUCUUUUAUCAAGGAAGAAGAUCUGACGGUACUUGAUGAAUAAGCCACGGCUAAUUCCGUGCCAGCAGCCGCGGUAAUACGGGAGUGGCAAGCGUUAUCCGGAAUUAUUGGGCGUAAAGCGUCCGCAGGCGGCCUGACAAGUCCGCUGUUAAAGCGUGGAGCUUAACUCCAUUUCAGCAGUGGAAACUGUCAGGCUUGAGUGUGGUAGGGGCAGAGGGAAUUCCCGGUGUAGCGGUGAAAUGCGUAGAUAUCGGGAAGAACACUAGUGGCGAAAGCGCUCUGCUGGGCCAUCACUGACGCUCAUGGACGAAAGCCAGGGAGCGAAAGGGAUUAGAUACCCCUGUAGUCCUGGCCGUAAACGAUGAACACUAGGUGUCGGGGGAAUCGACCCCUCCGGUGUCGUAGCCAACGCGUUAAGUGUUCCGCCUGGGGAGUACGCACGCAAGUGUGAAACUCAAAGGAAUUGACGGGGGCCCGCACAAGCGGUGGAGUAUGUGGUUUAAUUCGAUGCAACGCGAAGAACCUUACCAGGGCUUGACAUCCUGCGAACCUCUGGGAAACCGGAGGGUGCCUUCGGGAACGCAGUGACAGGUGGUGCAUGGCUGUCGUCAGCUCGUGUCGUGAGAUGUUGGGUUAAGUCCCGCAACGAGCGCAACCCACGUCUUUAGUUGCCAGCAUUUAGUUGGGCACUCUAGAGAGACCGCCGGUGACAAACCGGAGGAAGGUGUGGAUGACGUCAAGUCAUCAUGCCCCUUACGUCCUGGGCUACACACGUACUACAAUGCUACGGACAAAGGGCAGCAAGUUCGCGAGGACAAGCAAAUCCCAUAAACCGUGGCUCAGUUCAGAUCGUAGGCUGCAACUCGCCUACGUGAAGGAGGAAUCGCUAGUAAUCGCAGGUCAGCAUACUGCGGUGAAUACGUUCCCGGGCCUUGUACACACCGCCCGUCACACCAUGGAAGUUGGCCACGCCCGAAGUCGUUACUCCAACCCUCUGGGAGGAGGACGUCGAAGGUGGGGCUGAUGACUGGGGUGAAGUCGUAACAAGGUAACC
RNAcentral lists this ribosomal RNA (1444 nucleotides) under uncultured bacterium. RNAcentral's name for it is "bacterial SSU rRNA". It matches the Rfam family "Bacterial small subunit ribosomal RNA". The record is from RNAcentral.